RNAcentral lists this ribosomal RNA (490 nucleotides) under uncultured bacterium. Its description in RNAcentral is "partial 16S ribosomal RNA". It matches the Rfam family "Bacterial small subunit ribosomal RNA", at positions 30 to 507 of the family's 1533-position model. The record is from RNAcentral.
AUUGAACGCUGGCGGCAGGCCUAACACAUGCAAGUCGAACGGUAACAGGAAACAGCUUGCUGUUUCGCUGACGAGUGGCGGACGGGUGAGUAAUGUCUGGGAAACUGCCUGAUGGAGGGGGAUAACUACUGGAAACGGUAGCUAAUACCGCAUAACGUCGCAAGACCAAAGAGGGGGACCCUCGGGCCUCUUACCAUCGGAUGUGCCCAGAUGGGAUUAGCUUGUUGGUGGGGUAACGGCUCACCAAGGCGACGAUCCCUAGCUGGUCUGAGAGGAUGACCAGCCACACUGGAACUAAGACACGGUCCAGACUCCUACGGGAGGCAGCAGUGGGGAAUAUUGCACAAUGGGCGCAAGCCUGAUGCAGCCAUGCCGCGUGUAUGAAGAAGGCCUUCGGGUUGUAAAGUACUUUCAGCGGGGAGGAAGGGAGUAAAGUUAAUACCUUUGCUCAUUGACGUUACCCGCAGAAGAAGCACCGGCUAACUCCGUG